GGUCUAGUGGUCUAGUGGUAUGAUUCUCGCUUUGGGUCCACAUUUCCAGUCUGCGAGAGGCCCCGGGUUCGAAUCCCGGCUGGACCC
This is a transfer RNA of Beauveria bassiana D1-5, 87 nucleotides long. It matches the Rfam family "tRNA". Rfam says of the family: Transfer RNA (tRNA) molecules are approximately 80 nucleotides in length. Their secondary structure includes four short double-helical elements and three loops (D, anti-codon, and T loops). Lineage: Eukaryota; Fungi; Ascomycota; Sordariomycetes; Hypocreales; Cordycipitaceae. The record is from Rfam.